AGGCGAGAGAAGCUGAGGGGGCGGUAGCGGCGGCGGCGGCGGCGGCGGCGACUCUCGUGCCUGUGCUCAGCCUCCUCACGCCGCCUUCCUUUCUCCCUCCCUCCCUUCCUCCCCCGAGUGCGGCGGCACCGCCUCCUUCCGCGCCGCGCGGCUUCCUCCAGGGCUCUCGGCGCGGGUGAGCCCUGUUCCCGUAGGCAGCUGGUGCUGGCCCUGUAAUCCACAGGAGGAAGUAGCUGUCUGAACUCGGCCUUGGUACUGGUGGCCACCAUGUCCUUGAAGAUUCAGACAAGCAACGUAACCAACAAGAAUGACCCCAAAUCCAUCAACUCUCGGGUGUUUAUUGGAAACCUGAACACAGCUGUGGUGAAGAAGUCAGAUGUGGAGACCAUCUUCUCCAAGUAUGGCCGUGUGGCUGGCUGCUCCGUGCACAAGGGUUAUGCCUUCGUCCAGUACGCCAAUGAGCGCCAUGCCCGGGCAGCUGUGCUGGGAGAGAAUGGGCGAGUCCUGGCCGGGCAGACACUGGACAUCAACAUGGCUGGAGAGCCCAAGCCCAACAGACCCAAGGGGCUAAAGAGAGCAGCAUCUGCCAUAUACAGUGGCUACAGCUUUGACUAUGAUUACUACCGGGACGACUUCUACGACAGGCUCUUCGACUAUCGGGGUCGCUUGUCGCCGGUGCCAGUGCCCAGGGCGGUCCCCGUGAAGCGACCCCGGGUCACGGUCCCCUUGGUCCGGCGUGUCAAAACCACCAUACCUGUCAAGCUCUUUGCCCGGUCCGCUGCCAUCACCACCGGCUCAGCCAAGAUCAAGUUAAAGAGCAGUGAGCUGCAAACCAUCAAGACAGAGCUGACACAGAUCAAGUCUAACAUUGACGCCCUGCUGGGCCGCUUGGAGCAGAUCGCUGAGGAGCAAAAGGCCAACCCAGAUGGCAAGAAGAAGGGUGACAGUGGCAGCGGCAGCGGUAGUGGCGGCGGCAGCGGCAGUGGUAGCGGCAGCGGCGGCGGUAAUAGCCGGCCACUGGCCCCCCAAGAGGACACGGCUUCUGAGGCAGACACGCCUCAGGGAGAAGCACAGGCUCGAGAUGAUGGCGAUGAGGAAGGGCUGCUGACACACAGCGAGGAAGAGCUGGAGCACAGCCAGGACACAGAUGCGGAGGAUGGGGCCUUGCAGUAAGCAGGCUUGGGAAAAGGGAAUUCCACCCUGGAUAUUCAGCCUAAGAAAAGUAUUCAGCAUUCAUCUCGCCAUUACCUCUUUGAGGAACACCUCAACACUUUUCUAAAAUACUUUUGGAAAGAAUGUGGUUCUUAAUCAGAAACCCUCAAUUGUCUUUGCCUUGUCACUAUAGCAGAGUUCCUUCUAACUGCGCUGUGGUUGGUUUAAAACUAUAGAGGAAGAACAGAGGUUGGUGCAACUGUAUGGGUAACUGAGGAGCAACAGGUCAUUUUCAAUAUAAAUAUAGUCAAUCCAGUUUUAACCAAAUAAUAUCUCAAUGGACAUAAAACUUAAUGGGCCUGGAUCAGUCCUGAGAAUGUUUUAAGAGUGAAGUUAAAAACUGGGGUGUUAUUAGUUUGUCACAAAUCUGUAAAGUUCUGUGUCUUCCCUAAAGGGUCCCACUAAGAAAACACACACACACACAAAUAACAGAAUACUAACUGCACGAGAGGCACUGACCCUUGCUUUAUUCACGCAGUAACAUCCAACAUUUGUUACAGCUUGUUCUCCAAACUCAAAAUGCCUUCAGAAACCUGGGUUCCACCCAGCAGUGCUGUCAAAUAGUUUUCAAACUGUAGUUGAGAACAACAAAAAAAGAUUGGCCAGUAAAACUGAGAAUUGUGUGGACGUAGAUACAAAAAAGGGAGAAAGGGAUCAUAAACAGCAGUCAUGUUCAUCAUGGCAGUGGUGGCAGCUCAGUCAGUGUGGCCCCCCCUUAGGAGGGCCCUACUAGGUUGCAGGAAUGCUCCCUCCACCACUUCAUGGCCAAGGUGCUUUACAGCACUUGGCAUGUUACUUUAAAUUAAGGGUCACAGUGAUUAAAAACACCACAGUCAAGACAUUCAGGACAGACACGACUGCUCCUAGGCCGCUUGGAAUAACAAGUCCGGCAAUAAGAAAGUAAGGAGCAGCAUGUAUGUCCUUAUCCUCAGUUAAGUGCGUGCAAGGCAGACCACAGCACAGACAUAGAUUAUCUUGUCCCCUGUGCUCCAAUCAAGAAAUACCCACAUCCUCUGCAGAACUGGAGGCCCGAGAAGUACCAGACAGAUAGCAUCUCUUGGGUUCUCAUGGUCACAUUCAAAAGCUACUUCAAUAUAGAAAAUAGAAAAGCAUUUGUGGUGGGCCUUUUUCAAACCCAGGACCUAAGUUGAGGGGAGGGGGUUCGUCACCAUUUGGACUCUUCUCAGAAGAGUCCCCUGUACUGCACACACAUCAUGUCCUCCUGAACAGGGUGCCCAAGCAGGGUUGUUCUUGGUGUGCCAGUUACAAGACACACUUAGGAGGUUAUGUUUCUAAGAUUCUCUUAGUGGCCAGUGAGGAAGAAAAUCCUAAGGGUGAGGGUACCUAGCACCUUGAAUUCCCUCAUGUGGUAACAGCUGGAGGACUUGGCAGUGAGGUAGUAGCAACAAUCCUCACAUAAUAAAAAUAAUUCAAAUCUAUGUAAAUCUUCCCUGGAUGUUGAAAACAGGCAGUCCUCCCAGAUUUUAUGCUCAUAUGCUCAGUUCACUCUCUCAUGUGAAGCAGUGUCUACUUUGUGUCUCAAGAGAAGCUGGGAAGGAAAACGGCUGCCCAGCUGAAGUGCCUGCCAAAGUCCAGUUUCUCAGGACAAGCAUACAGCGACUCAUCAGAGCCCAGGCACAAACUGUUUUUGCUGAAUUCACCGAGCACAACUUUUAAAUAAAGAAAACUAAAGGACAAACCAAAUUGAAAGAAUCACUGUUAUAAUAACUUUAAUUUAUCUCGCAUUUUACAGAAGUCUAUGAACGAUUUUAAAAAAGCACCUCCUUACCCCAUCGCGUUUCUCGGACAGUUGUUAAAGUGGGCAAUGAGUAUGUCAACAGCUUGAGCAUCGGCAUCUUGCAAGGAUUUCACAGGCCAACCAACCACACGCCAAAGAGCUUGGCAGCUUUUCUAUCUUGUUUUUAAUACAAUGGUAUAUCCAACUCUGGUGGUAAACCUGUCCAGCCAAAUCUCCACAACACAUUUUGCAAAAUCAGUGGUGAUUAGCAAAUUAGUUAGCUUUGGCACGGAGCUGUGCUCGCUUGCCCGUGACAGCCUGGAAGCCGGUUUUGAUGCUGGCAACUGAGCAUCGAGAGUGACAAGUUUCGCACUGUAAGAAAUAAAGUCGGGUGUCCUUCUGUAGGAUUGUGUCCGGUGAUCGGCACGUGUGACAGGUGACAUAUUCCUCUGCAGGAAGAGCAACACAAAGCAUUAUCGUGGCUGCACUGAGCCAGGGGUUUCUUCCUUGUGCAAUACAUAUUCUACUCUGAACUCCACGAACUUAGGCUGAGACAGCAGGUUAUCUGGGAAUCCAGACCAGGGGAGCUUAGCUAAGCUUAGCUAUUCUGGGGGUAAGAAAACACAGGCUGUCUGCUGUGAUGCUUCAGGUACUAAAAACCAGGUUGAAGUAAAUUCAAAUUGCCCCAGGAGGCAGGAAAGUUUGUCAGCUACCUACUCCUGGUUCUAUCUACAAAAGAGAGGGAACUGACUAACCUUCCUAGGUGGGAACAGACAUGCCAAUUUUAAGGGAUUAGGAAUGUAACACAGGAGUCAAGCCAUGUCUGAAUCACAGACAAGUUUCUCUUGAGUUGGCCUUCAGCACUGGAGCCAACCAACAGCUUCCAUCAGAGCUGGGCCAUCUUAGGAAAUUCAAACCCCUCUCCUGGCACCUCAUCAGUGGUCUAGAGCUACCUCCCAUUCACUAUCAUGUACCCCAAUCUUUUUAAGGCCAACCUUUCCAGGCUCAUUACAAACUAUGAACAAAUGGCUCUCCCCAGACUGCAGUCUGAUGAGAACAUUUCAGGGUAACAUGAUUAAAUUAUACACUUACUGAUAUAUCUUCUCAAAACAUUUUCUAUCUGUUUCUGUUGGAAUCUUCCUUUGAUUACAAGUUGGUUAUUACCAUCUAUAGAACCACUAUGAAAGAAAGAAAAAAUGUCUCCAUUAAAAUUAUUUUUUCUGUAAAGAACCAAAUUCUGGGAUUUCUGUAUGUAAUGAAUUUUUAAGAUAUUCGGUGGUCUAGAAGUGGUGCUGUACUACCUGGCUUCUCCUUUUUAAAAAGUAUUUUUAAUUAAGUAGUUGGUGCCUGAUGACCAACCCAUAUUUCCUAACAUUAAAUCCAAUUUCAACCAAUUAAGUCAGUAACAACGAUCAGAUUUAUGGGAUUUUAAGUACAAAACAAAUAGAUUGCUUAAUUAUAACAGCCCAUUUAUCCAACAAAGGAAAUAAACCUUUACUGAGUGUCUACCAUAUGCAUAACAGAGACAGGAAUGUAAGUAUGAAAUAUGAAAGGGGCUAGAGAAAUAAAAAAUCCUAAGCACCAAAUACUUUGAAUCAGUUAUGGUUAAAAACAUAGCUUAUGAAAACAUUUUAAAAUUGAUUAUGGAGACGGCUGAACAACACUGGAUUGAUUAAAAACCACUGAGCUGUACACUUCAAAUGUGUGAAUUCUAUCUCAAUUAAGCUGUUACCAAAAAAAAAAAAAAAAAAAAGCCACAGGCCACAAAUUGUCCAUGGUACUCAAUGAGAAACUUCUGAGAAAGCUAUUGACAAGUACUUUUAAGAAAGCAAAGCUCUAGGCUAAACAUUAUCAUUUCUUAAAAAUUAUGAGUCACAAGUAAAACAACAAAAUCCAGCCAGAUGGAGUUUUAUAUUUGUUCUGUGUCUCAUCGUAAAACUGACUUUCGUUUAAGAAUCUCUCCUGUGAUUCUCCUUUAACUACAGGGUUUAACAGCAUACUCCAUCAACUGGAACCCUUAGUAUCUGGGCUAUAUUGAUUCCAAUGCUUGUAGGAAAUGUUUUUCAUUCACUGUCUGUCAAAAGAAAUUGAGUUUUCUCAAAAACCCUAUAACAUUAAUCUCACUGACCGUAAGUUCACUGAUCACAACUUCUUGUAAUUUACCCCACCUCUAUAAGACUGCAAAUUAUUCUCAGAAGUAGAAAAAAUAUUGCUAGCUUUUGCUCCUUCAUUAGUUUAUGCAAGUUCAAAAUAAACAAUGGUUGUAACAUUACAUUAAAACACAAUUCUUCCAGAAAAGAGCAAUACGUACCCACCACAAACCAAAAACAAACCCACUGCCGUCAAGCUGAUUCCAACUCGUAACAACCCUAUAGGACAGAGUAGAACUGUCCUAUAGGGUUUUCCAAAGCUGUUAACUCUUUACAGAAGCAGAGUGCCACAUCCUUCUCCCACAAAGUGGAUGCUGGUGGGUUCGAACUGCCAACCUUUUGGCAAGCAGCCACCAGGGCUCCUUCAUCCACCACAGGUCAAGUAAACUGCUGCUUAAACCCACAGCAAGUGCAGCUUGCUGUUACAAUAAACUGUGGGCUUCAGGAGAGCAAGAAGAGAGUAGAACACCGUAAUUCUUUCUGUACUGCCAGUGAGACUCAGGCAUUACACCUUUAAGAGCUCAGGCUCCAGAGACGAGCAAAUCUGAGUCUGUAUCUUGACUGUACCACUAACAAGCUACGUGACCAUCUACAACUUCACUGAACCUGCUUCCAAAUCUACAAGACCAGAGUAUUUCUCCUUCACAGGACUGUUGUAAAGAUUGAGAAAUAUUCACUCGGCACAGAGUCUGGCACACUACAGGUGUUAGUCAUCAUUAUUAUAGCAUAAGUCUAUAUUAAUUUUUAAAGGGACAUUUGGCUUCUUAGCAUUUGCGUGGUCAAACUCAUAGAGAUGGGCUCCAUGGGAUCCUAGCCUCCCUGAAUGCUCAAAACCAUCAACAGAUAAGCCCUGAAGACUGGAGUAGCUACUUAAUUAUCAAUCCUUGUUUCCAUGGUUUCUCCUGUGCCACUCAUCAACUUUACAAGCUGGAUUUCUACAUAGCCUGUUAUCAAUUAAAGGAAAAAAAAACAAAAAAAUUCUGACUUCCUCUAAAAUUUGAAAGCAUCUAACAUUUAUUCUCUAAAAAGACCCAGGAGUUUCAAUUACUGACCGGACGCUCUAAAGGCAGCAAUGGCACGGUACUCGCUUUGGACACUAGCAGGCCUAUUCAGAUGUGCUACUGUUAACUCUGUACCUAGUCCUACACAGCCAAGCUCUCCCACAGAAAUGAUUUCACUCCCUUGUUGGCCUAAAAGCCCUUCUGAUAAUUAGGUCAGUGUUUUCUAAGCAUGUCACAUAUCCUUCAAGUUAAGUUCUUAAGAAAUGUCCAGUAAUACUGUAUAUAGUUUCUUACCUUGUACCCAAUUCAGCCAAUAAAAAUGCAAGGAGAUGUUUGGGCUGACGGUGCAAUCUAAAAAGAAACAAUACACAAACCUUAUCUUUCAUGGAAAUAUGACCAAGCUUCUAAAAAACCAUCCUGUUUACUGUUUUAAUCUCUGACUACUCAGCCAUUAGGUGAAUUUCAGUACACAGUUUUAUUCAGGUUUUAGAACAUAUAUAUACUAUAUGACAUCACUUAUUUACAUUUUAAAGCCCAUAAAACAUUAUGUUAUGUAUGAAUACAUACGUAUGAGUAAAUGUCUACAGACAUAGACAGGAAAGGUAAACACUGACUUUAGGAGAUAAUGUCUUUCUCUGGGAAGAAGACAAAAGAGAUGGGAAGGCAACAGAAACAUGACUAAUUUUAACUAUAAGCCCCCCCACACCUUUUUUUUUUUUUUUUUUUUUAAAGAA
This is an RNA transcript of Loxodonta africana (African savanna elephant), 6835 nucleotides long. It is a transcript of the gene named RALY heterogeneous nuclear ribonucleoprotein, with no coding region annotated. The transcript is spliced from 11 exons. NCBI's taxonomy places the organism in Eukaryota, Metazoa, Chordata, Mammalia, Proboscidea, Elephantidae. The record is from RefSeq and is a predicted model, not a curated record.